UCCCUUCAGUUUUCUGCAAAAGAGGAAAUAUAUGGGCAUAUAAAUUGAUACGGACAUCAGUUUUCAGCAAAAUAGUUGAUGUAUUUGCUAAACUAAACAUUCUCCAUUUGCAUCCAUCCCCCGCAACAUUAAGAUUGAACAUCAGACCUCAAACCAAUGAAAUUGGUAGUUUUAAGUGACAAUAACAUUAUCUAUGACACUAAUCACUAGCCACGCAACAUGUACUUGAGGAAUUCAAGUAGGAUCCAUAAUCAGCUUGGAUUUGAGAUUUUGAGGUAAGGAAUUUUUAUUUUGAAACCCAAAGUAAGCUAAUUGAUAACAACUCAUUGCAUC
RNAcentral lists this unclassified non-coding RNA (333 nucleotides) under Hevea brasiliensis (rubber tree). The record is from RNAcentral. Lineage: Eukaryota; Viridiplantae; Streptophyta; Magnoliopsida; Malpighiales; Euphorbiaceae.